UGCAUUAUUUUUUUUGGAUGUUAUCAUAUUUUGCAAAUGUGUUAUUUUUGUGGCCACAUUUUGCACAUGUGUUAGUUUUGUUAUCACAUUUUGCAUAUGUGUUAGUUUGCUUGCUGCAUAUCAAUCUUUACUAUUUUUUAUUUUUAUUUUUUUAUGUUAUCACAUUUUGCACAUGUGUUUGUUUGCUACUUUUCUUUUACUUUUAGAACUUAUGACAUUUUACAAAUGUGGAUGUCAGUGCUUA
RNAcentral lists this long non-coding RNA (244 nucleotides) under Vitis vinifera (wine grape). Its description in RNAcentral is "long non-coding RNA (VVIN_LNC007133)". The record is from RNAcentral. Lineage: Eukaryota; Viridiplantae; Streptophyta; Magnoliopsida; Vitales; Vitaceae.